CCUACGGGUGGCAGCAGUGAGGAAUAUUGGUCAAUGGCCGGAAGGCUGAACCAGCCAUGCCGCGUGAAGGUCAGUGCCCUAUGGGCGUUAAACUUCUUUUGUGCGGGAGCAAUAAUGGUCACGUGUGGCCAGACGAGAGUACCGUACGAAUAAGCAUCGGCUCACUCCGUGCCAGCAGCCGCGGUAAUACGGGGGAUGCAAGCGUUAUCCGGAUUUAUUGGGUUUAAAGGGUGCGUAGGCUGGGAGGUAAGUCAGCGGUGAAAUGCCCCCGCUCAACGGGGUGAAGUGCCAUUGAUACUGCAUUGCUGGAAGGCGGAUGAGGUAGGAGGAAUGUGUGGUGUAGCGGUGAAAUGCAUAGAUAUCACACAGAACACCGAUUGCGAAGGCAGCUCACGAAUCCGCGAUUGACGCUGAUGCACGAAAGCGUGGGUAUUAAACAGGAUUAGAUACCCGAGUAGUC
This 460-nucleotide ribosomal RNA is filed under the name uncultured bacterium. Its description in RNAcentral is "partial 16S ribosomal RNA". It matches the Rfam family "Bacterial small subunit ribosomal RNA", at positions 338 to 795 of the family's 1533-position model. The record is from RNAcentral.